This is a long non-coding RNA of Monomorium pharaonis (pharaoh ant), 622 nucleotides long. RefSeq lists it as uncharacterized. Lineage: Eukaryota; Metazoa; Arthropoda; Insecta; Hymenoptera; Formicidae. The transcript is spliced from 3 exons. The record is from RefSeq and is a predicted model, not a curated record.
GAACAGCUGUUGUUCCCACGAAAGACACAGUGUUAUCAUGCACAGCCACCAACACACAUUCCAAUUGAAAGGGCACCAUGCCGUCCUCGAAGCAAGGAUUUUCUAUGCAAUGAGGAAGUGCCUCAUUCUUAGGAAGUACAACAUAAUUUCCGGAUGGACAAGGGCCUUGCCUGUAGGCCUCAUGACAAGAGUUGUUCAAUGGGAAGUACAGGAAUCGUGGCUUACAAUCGCACACCCAGGAAUCCUUCGAACCACUGCCUGGAUAGAGAAGCAUGUUUUCCGGACAACUGCUCGGUAUUAACACGGAUUACCGUAGAGUUACCACCGCUAACAUGAAACGUCUCCUCGUCAAUUGGGAAUAUCACAUCCUGGCUUUGUAUCAUGUAAUUAUACAUGAGAAGUACAAUUCCGGUGUACAAACGUUUCAUCUUCAUUCUUGAAUAAGACUAUGCGCCGUUGAGAAAAAUAAAAAGUAUAGGUAUAUAUACAUAUAUACACUUGAUGAAGACCAAGAUAUGAGGAAUACCAGUUUUGCAUAAAUGAAUGUUAAUGUGUUCCUAACAACACAUUAAACAUAUCUUGAUUUGUUUUGGAUCUUCUUCAAUUCAAUGACAAACUAAAA